RNAcentral lists this long non-coding RNA (252 nucleotides) under Physcomitrium patens. RNAcentral describes it as "long non-coding RNA (PPAT_LNC011242)". The record is from RNAcentral. Lineage: Eukaryota; Viridiplantae; Streptophyta; Bryopsida; Funariales; Funariaceae.
CUCUCAAUUGCAAGAACAAUCACCAUUAGUUCCUAAAAACCUACAAGCCUAUCUAGUAUCUUUAAACAUUAGACCUCCACCUCCUUUGUUAGCUUUGACCUAUCCUAUUGAUGAUAACAAGUGAAAAGAAGAAUUAUAAAAAGAGAUGAGAACAUCUCAGUUAGAAUUCCAAAUCCAAAUCUUUCAUUAAAUAAAGUUGAUGAUAGAACAACUACUUGGAUUAGUGAGAAAUUUCAAUUCCAAUCUUCUUCU